Long non-coding RNA from Nothobranchius furzeri (turquoise killifish), 2741 nucleotides. The record is from Ensembl. NCBI's taxonomy places the organism in Eukaryota, Metazoa, Chordata, Actinopteri, Cyprinodontiformes, Nothobranchiidae.
AUGUAUAAAUGUAUGUGUCGUCUUAAUGUGUCCAAGAACAGAGUCACCCUAACGCUGCCUGAUGCCCGACACCGUGCUGCACGCUACCCCACCGAACUACGACGGAAGCACAGUGAUCCAUUGAUUGGUCAGAAAGCUCCAGUGGGCGUGGUUAAUGUACAGAUGGGGAGUAAUGGGUCUUUGAGAGCAGAGGUGUCCAGUCCUUGUCCUACAAGUCCCUGUACAGCAGACUGGGGUCGCUUCUCUUCUCCAACACACCUGGUUCAACGCUUCAGUCACCUGCAGUCUAAUAUCAGGUGUGUGUACUUUUUAAAUUUUUUUAAAGUUUUUUCUUCUUUUAAUUGUUUAAAAAAAAUUAAAAUAAUAAUCUCCACUUCUUCUCCCUCUUCUUCAAACACACACACACACACACACACACACACACACACACACACACUAAAGACGUGUUAAAGCACUUUUCAACCACAGGUGUGUGUUUGGGUCCAGGUGUGGUGAAACAGGUGUGUAGAUGCAUCCUUAUGCUGCUCAGUCGUUAACUUUGUCUUUUCUUUUUUAAUCUAAUUUGAUGUAUUUUUAAAAUAUCCUGUUUCAUGUUUUCUUGUCUGAAGCUCUUAGAAUGAAGCAGGUUAGAAAUAAAGAAGCUCUGAAAAACCCUAAAAUAAGAAAGGUGCUGAACUUUUGUUUCAUCAAUACACCUGUGUGUGUGUGCGCGUGUGUGUGUGUGUGUGUGUGUGUGUGUGUGUGUGUGCGUGUGCGUGUGCGUGUGUGUGUGUGUGUGUGUGCGCGCGCGUGCGCGUGCGUGUGCGUGUGUGUGUGUGUGUGUGUGUGUGUGUGUGCGUGUGUGUGUGUGUGUGUGUGUGUGUGUGUGCGCGUNGACUGAGACCGUGAGGGUCUCCGCCCACCCGGCCAAUCAUCAUCGUGUUUGUAAGUGCGUUACCGACACCUCUCUCUCCCUGGCUGCAGCUGAAGUGUUGCGGUCAGAAAGCCUCACGCUGUUGCUCAACGUUCGACAAGCACAUAGUAACGCACAACCUUCCGUCCCCAGUAACGGUAACGGCGUUGCAACGGCGGGAAAAGUAAUUAAUUCGAUUAUUCCGUUACCUAUAAAAGAACGCCGUUAGAAACGCCGUUAUACUUAAACGGCGUUACUCCCAACACUGGCCAGAUUACCGCACUUGCAACUUCAGGGCUGCCAAUCUGGUCCCUGUUGAGGCAGUUUCCCAUCUAGGCCAGCAUGAAGUGGGCUGGUUGGCAUUGGUCCAGCUCCAGCCUUAUUGAAGCAGCUGCUUACAGUAUUGCUGCUGCUGCUGUUUGGAUCGCUGGCUGUAGUACACAUAACACACUAGCUUGCAAUAUUAAGAAGGACAACACCUGUCCCCCUCCAGCUCGGCUGUGUGACUGCAAUAACCUGUCCUGUGUGACCCUCACCAUGUAACCCUUAUGUCCAUGCUGGCUCUGGAGGAGCAGAUAGGAAACAAGAUCUCCUGUAACUUAAAAUGAACCAAAGCUUCCUCCCGGUUUCUCUUUAAGCUGAAUUCAACAUCAGUUUAUCAUCAUGAAACAAAAGAAUAAAAUGGAACAAAAACUUCUAUCUUCUAUUUCUCUCUCCUAUUAAUUUCUCCAUGUCCCUAAAUAAGAGAGAUAGACGACUGUGUCACUGACUCUCUCUCUCUCUCUCUCUCUCUCUCUCCCUCCCUCUCUCUCUCUCUCUCUCUCUCUCUCUCUCCCUCUCCCUCCCUCCCUCGCUCUCUCUCUCUCGCUGUGGACGCGGGAACAUUUACGACCUAAUAUGAAGCACAUGUUCGGUUUGUCCUGCUCCAUCAAACAUUAGAAACUGGUAUCAAAUAGAAUCCAGUUCUACUUUUGCAGUUUUGAUCUUUGCUUCAUUUCAUUUUCAUGUGAACAAAAUAAAAUCUGCCUAAUAAACAUGGCUGCCAGAGGUCUCAGAGGGUCCCGCUCUGGCAGCUGGCCCACAUCAGGAUCUGAUGUAGGCAGGCACUUCCCCUUCAGCUGGGCCGGCAGCCAGCUGGAUCAGCAAGCUGCUGGACCGGACCGGACUGGGCCGGGCCGGGCCGAUCCGAGUCUUUGAUGGGGUAGAGUAAGCCCAGGGGGCAUUACAAAAUGCACAAGAAUGAAAUAAUGGGAGUGUCAUGCUAACACCGUUAUUAGAGUCAGGUUUCUCAUGAGCGCAGUGCGGAGCGCUGAUCCAGUUCUGGCUGGUUCUUCAGGGGCCAGUUAGGAGGAUCUAUUAGCAGAAAUGGGAUCUAUUGCUGACAAUUGUGUUUUCAUUCGCGUACACUCACCUGGAACCCGCAGUCCUGUUGGUGGCUCAGCCGGAGCGUUUCUGAGGAGCGCAGCAGCUCACGAUGAACAACCGCAGGGUUAGCAGGCAAGACCAUCGCAGAGCCAUCCACGAGCUGAGUAGGAGAGACAAAAUAACUCAUUAGAGGAAAUCUGCAGCCAAAUCCUCCGAGUUAAACGACCCACUUCCUGUUCACGUCAAACUCAAUGGAGUUCAGGUCAUCAGAACGUUCACAUCCAGGUUUCCAUGUUUCCGACAUGGAAAAGAAUCAUAUUUGAAAUCUAGAAGGAUUUACUGGAAAUAAUCCAUCCAUCCAUCCAUUAUCCAUCACCCAUCCAUCCAUCCAUCCAUCCAUCACUCAUCAAUUAUCCAUCAUCCAUCACCCAUCCAUCACCCAUCCAUUAUCCAUCCAUCCAUCCAUCAUCCAUCCAUCACCCAU